RNAcentral lists this transfer RNA (81 nucleotides) under bacterium. Its description in RNAcentral is "tRNA-Leu". It matches the Rfam family "tRNA". From Rfam's summary of the family: Transfer RNA (tRNA) molecules are approximately 80 nucleotides in length. Their secondary structure includes four short double-helical elements and three loops (D, anti-codon, and T loops). The record is from RNAcentral.
GCAGGUGUGGCGGAAUUGGCAGACGCACCAGCCUUAGGAGCUGGCGUCACUGACGUGCAGGUUCAAGUCCUGUCACCUGCA